Triticum aestivum (bread wheat) is the source of this 6388-nucleotide RNA transcript. It is a transcript of the gene named putative disease resistance protein RGA3, with no coding region annotated. NCBI's taxonomy places the organism in Eukaryota, Viridiplantae, Streptophyta, Magnoliopsida, Poales, Poaceae. The record is from RefSeq and is a predicted model, not a curated record. The transcript has 10 exons.
UCGAUGCGGCACAUCAGGACAUCAUCACCUGGGAACGCUGAACCUUGAAGACCGUGAUAGCAUUGGGCACCCACCGCCCACCGGCCAGCGCGAGAUCUGAAGCCAAGUUGCCCACUCCUUGAGGUCAUCGACUUGACUCAUCGAUAUUGAGCAUCAUGCACGUCUGCUAGUACUGCUGAUCGGCCACCGGCCGGCCGCGUAUGUUUUUAUAUUUCUGCUCCAUGUGAUGCGUUGCUGGCUGCGAUUAGUUCACCAUCACUGCCAUCUGCCAUCUCUAUAUAUUUUCUCUCCCUCCGGCAGUUAACGCACCAUAUCCGCACCCUCUCUUCCUGGGCUGAACAACACAACCCAACACAACUCUCACUCACACACUCCUCGCCGGUGACUGCCUCCACGACGUGCGACGGCCGGACGGCAGCCCCUCUCCCCCUCCUGUGCCUGCGUCCCUACAGCACAGGUUCUGAGUGCAUUGGCACCUGUGUGGAUGGACGCACUCCUCGGCGCGGCGCAAUGGGUGGUGAGCAAGGCGCUGGCCCCCGUUGCCGAUGGCCUGCUGGAGGCUUGGGGUGCAACCAGGAACUUGGGUCCGAACAUCGAGGCCCUGAGGAUGGAGCUGCUGCUUGUGAAGGCCACCCUUGAAAAUGCCGGCCUCAAGCACACCAGUGGCCAUGCCAUGGAGGAGCUGCUCGGGAAGCUGCAGGACUUAGCAUACUGUGCCGAGGACUUGUUGGACGAGCUUGACUACUUCCGCAUCCACGACCAGCUCCACGACACAUAUGACGCCGCGGACCAGCAUGCCAAGGGCGGCGUCCACGACCUUGCCCUCAAUGCUCGUCAUGUCGCCAAAGCUGUUGGCAAGCUGACAUUUGUAUCCUCAUUUUGCUGUUCUGCUCCCAAACCUGCAGGCGAUACUGGAGAAGGAGAAGAUGUAACACAACGGGUCAGCCGUUGUGCUUGGCUGCGUGCUCGGAAGAGGUCAGACGGGAAUUCCUCCUCACUACCAAACGCCAAUCAGGAGGUCGGCGGAUGCAUGGCCAAGCUUGGUAAACUCCUCCCUUGCUCAUCUUCCCCACAUGUUCGUGAUGAUAGUUCUGGCCAGCCUAUUCUUUGUGGUGUGCCACAGAGAGAAACACCAAUGGUGGGGUUUAAUAGGGUUGAUGCCUCUGAAAGAAUGCGGCACAUUGUAGAGCAAUUGCAGCCUGUGCGUAAAGAGGUUACACUGAUUCUGCAAAGUUGUAGCCGUGUGAUAGUCCCGACUAUUGACCAGAGUCUUCCCAUCAAUCGCCCCAUCACCUCUGGUACAAGUGUGGAGCCAAAAUUGUAUGGGAGAGACCAUAUCGUGGAUACCAUCAUACAUGAUAUGACUAUGGGUAAAUACCUUAGCUUUGAUCUAACUGUGCUUCCGAUUGUCGGUCCAGGGGGAAUUGGAAAGACAACUCUGAUACAACACAUACAUAAAACCCAACAAGUUCAAAAUCAUUUUCAAGUUGUUAUUUGGGCGUGUGUGUCGCUCAAGUUUAAUUUGAAUAAGCUGCUAGAGGAGAUUAAAACAUAUAUUCCUCAAGUUGAAGGGGAAAAGGGUGGUAGUGCCGAAGAGCUGAUUGAGCAGAGAUUAAAAUCUAAAAGGUUUUUGCUUGUACUGGAUGAUAUUUGGGAGAUUAGUGAUGAGGAUGAGUGGGAAAAGUUAUUGCUGCUACUCAGAACAUCAUCUGAAAAGGGUAGCAUGAUUAUUGUCACAACUCGGUUUCCGUCAAUAGCUAAGAUAGUUGGAACAGUUGACCGUUCAAUAAAAUUGAAAGGUUUAGAAUCUGAAUUUAUUAGGGAGUUAUUCCAUGCAUUUGUCUUUGGUGAUGACCAAUGUAGAAAGGAUCACAAUUUUUUGCUUGAGACCGGAGAUAAAAUAAUGAUAAAACUAAAGGGAUCCCCACUUGCAGCAAAAACAGUUGGUAGAUUACUGAGAAAGAAUCUUAAUUUGCGUCAUUGGACAAGGGUCCUAGAAAGUAAAGAAUGGGAGAGCCAGACCAGUGUUAAUGACAUUAUGCCUGCCUUGAAGCUUAGCUAUGACUAUCUCCCUUUUCAUCUUCAGCGAUGCUUUUCCUAUUCUGCAUUGUUUCCUGAAGAUUACCAUUUCAAUGGCGCCCAACUAGUCAACUUGUGGAUAGGACUGGAUAUCUUACAACCUGGUGAUCGAACCCAAACAUUUGAAGAUAUAGGUUUCAGCAACUUAAAUGAUUUGGUCACGUAUGGCUUUUUCAGAGAAGAUAAAACUAAUGGUCGUCUAUGUUAUGUCAUGCAUGACCUCCUACACGAUUUAGCAUUGCAAGUUAUAUCUCAUGAAUGUAUUAGUUUACAUCGGUCCAAUGUGGGAUUGGUAAAAAUUCAGCCGUUCAUCCGUCACUUGUCUAUAAUCAUAGAUGGUGGGGAUGAUUCAGUGUCUCGUGAAAAUUUCAAGAGUCAACUGAGAAAGCUAAAGACAAGUUUGAAGAUUAAACAAUUGCAUACCUUGAUGUUAUUUGGAGAAAUGGAUGAAAGUUUUGUCAACACUCUGGGUGAUUUGUUUAGGGAAGCAAAUGCUCUUCGUGUUCUCCGUUUGGAUGAAACGCCGUAUUAUGUGGAGUCCAUAUUACCUAACUUUUCAGCACUUGUUCAUCUACGGUACCUAUAUCUGGGGACAAAGUGUGAGAGUGAGAUGCAUGUACUACUUAUCAUUUCUAGAUUUUAUCAUUUAAGGAUUUUGGGUCUAGGGUCAUGGUACCACAAUUGUCAUUUGCCCAAAGAGUUGAGCAACCUUGUAAACAUGCGUCGGUUUUAUACGCCAGCUGAUGAGUUGCAUUCUGAUAUUGUCAAUGUGGGAAAACUCAAACACUUAGAGGAGUUGAUGGUAUUUAGAGUCAAUAAAAAAUUUGAAGGGUUUGAACCAUGUCAACUAGAGCAUUUGACGGAACUAAGGGAGCUUGGCAUCUAUAACCUUGAGAAUAUACACACUAAAGAAGAAGCAGCCAAAACAAAUCUGGGAGAGAAAAUCCACUUGGAGAAGUUAACAUUAGAUUGGGAUAAUGAGCGGUCUAAUACCGAGCCAGGUGCAGAAGCAGUUGUCCUUGAGAGCCUUCAACCACAUAGAUAUCUUCAGGAGUUGUGCAUUAGAGGGCACAAAGGCUCUUCUUUUCCAACAUGGCUGGGUGAUAAGGUCACUGUUGAAUCUCUUCAUCUCUCUGGUGUUUCUUGGCAAUGUCUCCCUCCUUUGGGGAAGAUGUGGGGCCUUGGUAAAGUAGUAUUGGAACAUAUUCCCGCAAUGGAGGAGUUUGUUAUAGAGCAAAGCCUUUGCAAGCUAAUAAGGGUUGAGCUUGUUGGCUUGGGAAGUUUUGGAAAAUGGGUAGCAUCACAGGAUGCGGAUCAUAUGUUUCCUCUUUUGCAAGUAUUGAUUAUAAAAGACUGCCCUAAACUGUUGGAGCUGCCAUUUGCAAGCCAUAUUAUUUACCCAUCAGAUCAAGACCGGAAUAGUGAUUGGUUUCCCAAACUGCAAGAGCUUUGUAUAGAGAAGUGUCCAGAACUGUUGUUAGUGGCUCAUAUCCCAUGGACGGACACUCUGCAUAGUGUGAACAUAAGUGAUGUAAAGCUACUAGACAGGCUUGUGUACUCAACAAAUUCCUUCUUUGGGGGACGCUGUUUGGAUAUUGCAGGAAAGGAUGAUUUGCAGAGCUUAGAUGAGGUGGUAGCAUUCAGCAAGCUGGCAUGUCUUGAGCGUUUGUUACUCCACAAGUGCCCAGCUCUGAAGUCAAAGCACCUUCUGCUGUUGACCUCACUGAAGAAGUUGAUGGUAGAGGGUUCAGAUGGUGUGGUUGUAGAGGGUGAUGUGGAAUGGCAGCACCCCCUUGAGCAUCUUGUGGUGCAGGGCGAGGAAUCAUGUGGGAAGGAAUUGACAGAGCUCCUCACCCACCUCCCAAGCAUCUCCAAAUUGGAAAUCGAAAAAUGUGAAAAGAUAACACAACUGUCAGUGGGGUUGGAUGUGCAACAAACAACAUCAUCAGCUACGGAGGUGGAGGAGAAAGAAGAAGAUGAUUCAGGGCUGCUGCUCUUGCCUGCCCAACUCUCUGGCACACUGCAGCUGUUGAGCAUCCGGAGUUGUCCAGAGCUGGUCCUGGUGGACCCCCCUUUUCUUCUUGCCAGGGGAGGGCUCCAGGCCCUGCGGUCCCUCAAGACUCUACAAAUUUCGUUGUGCCCAAAGAUACUAUCCGCAAAGAGUUCUCCAUUCUGCUGCCCUUUUCCAUCCUCUCUGCAACAGCUCCAUGUUGAGGGUGUGGAAGGCAUGGGGAACCUGGGGCAUCUCCUUACCGCUGGGGGACAGCUCAUACUGUUAAGCAUUGGUGGCUGCCCUGGAUUCUUUGCUGGAUGGGAUCAGGAGUUAAAGCAGCAGCUUCUGAAUGGAGGAAAAGAGCAGGAACUGCAACAGCUUGUUUCGCCCCAGAAUGGAUGCAAACUGCAGGAGCUCUAUACGGAUGAUGCCAUGGGAAUCCUAUCUGUGCCCAUCUGCAACCUCCUGUCUUCCUCCCUCAGCAUCCUGGGCUUCUUUGGCAACCAAGAGAUGGAGUGCUUUACUAAGGACCAAGAGGACGCCCUUCACCUGCUGGUCUCCCUCCAGAAACUGAUGUUUAUCAACUUGAGCAAGCUUCAGAGCCUCCCUGCAGGGCUGCAAAAGCUCACCAACCUCAAGGAAUUAUCGGUCUGGUCAUGUCCGCUUGUCCGGUCACUGCCAGAGGAUGGCCUCCCCAAAUCACUUCAAGAAUUAGAUGUCUGGCGCUGCGGCAGCGCGGAGCUAACACAGCAGUGCCAGGGGUUAGUGGGAACCAUCCCAAAAAUCUUCCUGUAACUGUGAGACUGGUCCAAGGUCUCUGCCUUGGGGCUCCCAUGUACAUUCUUCUAGCCUUGUACACUUGUCACAUAGAUGAGGGUCUUGUGGCCUGCUUCUUGUACACAAAUCAUGUGUUUCUUCUCAUAGGGUUGUAGCUUCUUUGCUUAUAAAUUUGGAUUUUCAUUACUCCUCAAAGAUUUGAUGGUGUACUAAGUAGUUCCGGUGUGAGAAUCAGAAUAUUACAAUAGCAUAAUUCAGAAAUGAAUUAGUCUUCGAUGCUGCAUUAUUGAUAUUACCAGAAACUUUCUACCUUCCUGUAUAUAAAUCUGUAGCCAUCACUCAUCGGGACUUCGUGUACACUACUAAAUUGACUGUCGAGAUCAAGAUAUUACCACGAAAUGAUUGGAGAAUAAGUCAGCCUUCAGUGUUCUGCUAUUGAUACGAGGUGUUCUUAUCCUUGUUCUCAUAGGCUUGUUUGUAAUUUGCAUUUAAAUUUUGGCCGGCAUCGCUGGUCAAGACUUGGUGGGUGUACCUGGCAGCUUUGGUUGUGAGGUUCAAAAUAUCACCACAUAAUAGGCGAGACUUCUGUGCUUCGCUACUGAUAUUAAGGUAUUCAUCAUAUUUGCUCUGGCAUGGUUCCUGGUACUUAGCGUUUUCAUAUGGUUGUUACUCACAGAGACUUGGCGGUGUACCUAGAAAGUUCAGGUUUGAGGAUCAAAAGAAAGCCAGACAAGAAUGGUACUACCCGUUGGAUCCAACUUCAUAUAUUGAGAUGUCAGGCUAUCACUGAAAGCACAUAUAAGAUGGAAGGCAGUGGCGAAAUGAUCAGUGCUUGCUUCACGGCAAUAGAAUGCUGCUGGUCCGGCUUGCCUGAAGUCUUGCCGCUUGCUGUUGGAUACGGGCCCUAUUGAAACAAGGUGGAGGGGCAUGGGAGAUGGAGAAGAGGUGGAUUUUUCCGAAGCAAACGCAGACAUCCAGGGACUUUCAACAGGGGCUGCCACACAAAAAGGAAAAGGGAAAGGGGGUGGUGGUGGCGGUGGAAGAGGAGUGCGCCGCAGCGCAGGAGGAGAAUGACGGCUAUCAUAUCAUCAGCAGUGCGCCGCAUUUACUGCACUUUGUCAUGUUUUGUAAGGGGAACAGCAAGGGAAGAGUUUGUAUUUCUCUCUCUCUGAAUCCUCUGUUUCUUCCAAAACAGAAAAACAGUAAGAAAGAAAUUGGUCUGAGACUUCUCCUUCCAACACAAUCCUCUGUUUAUUGUGUUGGUAGUAGUAGACUAGUUUACUCGCUGCCCGUGGAAAGGCUUGACUUGCUGUCAAAGAGGGAUCCCUUCCUUGAUGAACAAUCAAUGUUUGGCUCCAUCACUCCCCUCUUCUAUAUGACAUAUGUCCAAAAACCAUAUUGAAACACGAAUGUGGAUGCAUGAAGGGGUUCUGUCUUCAUUCUGAUUGAAUUUCUUUUAUUCCUUCCACACAUGAAUGUAUCGAACAUGGAUGUAGAUGCAUUGGGUUGUUUGGAUUACAGCAUAUUAAAUUCUCCCCA